Molecule: ribosomal RNA, 422 nt
Filed under: uncultured bacterium
Lineage: Bacteria
Description: partial 16S ribosomal RNA
Rfam family: Bacterial small subunit ribosomal RNA
Source: RNAcentral
AAUAUUGGACAAUGGGCGAAAGCCUGAUCCAGCCAUGCCGCGUGUGUGAAGAAGGUCUUCGGAUUGUAUAGCACUGUAAUUUGGGAGGAAGGGCAGUAAGUUAAUACCUUGCUGUUUUGACGUUACCGUAAGAAUAAGCACCGCCUAACUUCGUGCCAGCACCCGCGGUAAUACGAAGGGUGCGAGCGUUAAUGGGAAUUACUGGGCGUAAAGCGAGCGUAGGUGGUUUGUUAAGGUAAAAGUGAAAGGCACGGGCUCAACCUGGGAACUGCUUUCAAAACUGCUGAGCUAGAGUACGGUAGAGGGUAGUGGAAUUUCCUGUGUAGCGGUGAAAUGCGUAGAUAAAGGAAGGAACACCAGUGGCGAAGGCGACUACCUGGACUGAUACUGACACUGAGGUGCGAAAGCGUGGGGAGCAGACA